GGUCCUACGGGACGCAGCAGUGGGGAUAUUGCACAAUGGGGGAAACCCUGAUGCAGCGACGCCGCGUGAGCGAUGAAGUAUUUCGGUAUGUAAAGCUCUAUCAGCAGGGAAGAAAAUGACGGUACCUGACUAGAAGCCCCGGCUAACUACGUGCCAGCAGCCGCGGUAAUACGUAGGGGGCAAGCGUUAUCCGGAUUUACUGGGUGUAAAGGGAGCGUAGACGGCAGGGCAAGUCUGAAGUGAAAGGCAAGGGCUCAACCCUUGGACUGCUUUGGAAACUGGGCUGGUGGAGUGUCGGAGAGGCA
This 305-nucleotide ribosomal RNA is filed under the name uncultured bacterium. RNAcentral's name for it is "bacterial SSU rRNA". It matches the Rfam family "Bacterial small subunit ribosomal RNA", at positions 335 to 659 of the family's 1533-position model. The record is from RNAcentral.